UGGGGAGUAUUGCACAAUGGGGAAACCCGUAGCAUGCAGCGACGCCGCGUGAAGGAAGAAGGCCUUCGGGUUGUAAACUUCUGUCGUACGGGACGAUAAUGACGGUACCGUACAAGAAAGCCACGGCUAACUACGUGCCAGCAGCCGCGGUAAAACGUAGGUGGCAAGCGUUGUCCGGAAUUACUGGGUGUAAAGGGAGCGCAGGCGGACUAGCAAGUUGGAAGUGAAAUCUAUGGGCUCAACCCAUAAAUUGCUUUCAAAACUGCCGGUCUUGAGUAGUGCAGAGGUAGGCGGAAUUCCCGGUGUAGCGGUGGAAUGCGUAGAUAUCGGGAGGAACACCAGUGGCGAAGGCGGCCUACUGGGCACCAACUGACGCUGAGGCUCGAAAGUAUGGGUAGCAAACGAGGUAUUAUGCAUACC
Molecule: ribosomal RNA, 420 nt
Filed under: uncultured bacterium
Lineage: Bacteria
Description: bacterial SSU rRNA
Rfam family: Bacterial small subunit ribosomal RNA
Source: RNAcentral